This 661-nucleotide ribosomal RNA is filed under the name Virgibacillus sp. J2044/1-C. Its description in RNAcentral is "bacterial SSU rRNA". It matches the Rfam family "Bacterial small subunit ribosomal RNA", at positions 45 to 674 of the family's 1533-position model. The record is from RNAcentral. Lineage: Bacteria; Bacillati; Bacillota; Bacilli; Caryophanales; Bacillaceae.
UGCCUAAUACAUGCAAGUCGAGCGCGGGAAGCAGAUGGAAUCCUUCGGGAGGAAGUCUGUGGAACGAGCGGCGGACGGGUGAGUAACACGUGGGUAACCUGCCUGUAAGACUGGGAUAACUCGCGGAAACGUGAGCUAAUACCGGAUGAAACUUUUCAUCACCUGAUGAGAAGAUGAAAGGCGGCUUCGGCUGCCACUUACAGAUGGACCCGCGGCGCAUUAGCUAGUUGGUGAGAUAAUGGCUCACCAAGGCAACGAUGCGUAGCCGACCUGAGAGGGUGAUCGGCCACACUGGGACUGAGACACGGCCCAGACUCCUACGGGAGGCAGCAGUAGGGAAUCUUCCGCAAUGGACGAAAGUCUGACGGAGCAACGCCGCGUGAGUGAUGAAGGUUUUCGGAUCGUAAAACUCUGUUGUUAGGGAAGAACAAGUACCGUUCGAAUAGGGCGGUACCUUGACGGUACUUAACCAGAAAGCCCCGGCUAACUACGUGCCAGCAGCCGCGGUAAUACGUAGGGGGCAAGCGUUGUCCGGAAUUAUUGGGCGUAAAGCGCUCGCAGGCGGCCUUUUAAGUCUGAUGUGAAAGCCCACGGCUCAACCGUGGAGGGUCAUUGGAAACUGAAGGGCUUGAGUACAGAAGAGGAGAGUGGAAUUCCACGU